ACGGGAGGCAGCAGUGGGGAAUAUUGGGCAAUGGGCGCAAGCCUGACCCAGCAACGCCGCGUGAAGGAAGAAGGCUUUCGGGUUGUAAACUUCUUUUAUCAGGGACGAAGGAAUGACGGUACCUGAUGAAUAAGCCACGGCUAACUACGUGCCAGCAGCCGCGGUAAUACGUAGGUGGCAAGCGUUAUCCGGAUUUACUGGGUGUAAAGGGCGUGUAGGCGGGAGUGCAAGUCAGGCGUGAAAUCUAUGGGCUUAACUCAUAAACUGCUUUUGAAACUGAAUCCCUUGAGUAUCGGAGAGGCAGGCGGAAUUCCUAGUGUAGCGGUGAAAUGCGUAGAUAUUAGGAGGAACACCAGUGGCGAAGGCGGCCUGCUGGACGACAACUGACGCUGAGGCGCGAAAGCGUGGGGAGCAAACAGGAUUAGAUACCCUGGUA
RNAcentral lists this ribosomal RNA (436 nucleotides) under uncultured Oscillospiraceae bacterium. RNAcentral's name for it is "bacterial SSU rRNA". It matches the Rfam family "Bacterial small subunit ribosomal RNA", at positions 341 to 792 of the family's 1533-position model. Lineage: Bacteria; Bacillati; Bacillota; Clostridia; Eubacteriales; Oscillospiraceae. The record is from RNAcentral.